AGCUGGACUUAACCUUUAACCUGUCACCAGCCCGCCCACUCCUAUCACGUUGUCUCUGUGGCUGCUCGUUAGCAACUUGUCCAAAUUGUUUGCGCCAUGUAAUUUAUUACCGAGACAAGAAAAGACACAGGAGAAAAAAUAUGGAAAACAAUAUAAGUUUAAUGGGUGAAAUCAAACUAGCUUGGCUAAAGUAGCUGGAUCUUCCAAGCGGCUACUCGAACCAAAUAUGGCGGACGGACCCAAUUAAAACUGGACCGCAACAUACGACGGUUGGCUUUGUCAGUUAUACCUUUGCUGAAACCAUUGACGCUACCGCUACUCGCGUUAUUGUUAGCAUGGCAGCUACCAUGCUAACAGUUUGCUUCAGGACAGCUACUUUGUGGAGGACAUGGUGCAAAAUGUCCAUAUCAACCGUCGCCAGUUGAGACCGGAAGUGGACUUUCCUGUCCACCUGCUGGCACGCUGAAGUCUCCCCUGAGGAUUUAUGACACAGAUCUGCUGUACCGUGAGUCCAGAAAGGCAUCAGCAACUGCAAGAUCCUGAAGGCUUCCUCAGAGUUUGAUCUUGAUGUGCGGCUCUCUGGGAAGAUGUACAAAUGCUCACAGCCGGUCAGAUAGCGGAGCUGAUGCCUCUUUUGGCACGGCCUCAGCAUGUGGGUCAGCGUAAGUCGGAGUCAUUACCCUGGGGGAAUCUGCUAAGUGGCAUUUUCAGGCUCCACAGCACAGAGUUGUGCUGCAGACUACUGUGUUCCCUCUCUUGAUGUCUGACACCUCACAGUGCGGCGUUCUCUGUUUGCCGUUCAAGACAAAGAGGGACUCGGCUGACGGCGUCACCAGGUGCUGUCCGAACAACC
Molecule: long non-coding RNA, 853 nt
Organism: Scatophagus argus
Lineage: Eukaryota; Metazoa; Chordata; Actinopteri; Scatophagidae
Exons: 4
Source: RefSeq, a predicted model, not a curated record